UACAGAGGGUGCAAGCGUUAAUCGGAAUAAUUGGGCGUAAAGGGUGCGUAGGUGGUUUGUUAAGUUGUGUGUGAAAGCCCCGGGCUUAACCUGGGAAUUGCAUACAAUACUGAUAGACUAGAGUCGGGUAGAGGGUAGUGGAAUUUCCGGUGUAGCGGUGAAAUGCGUAGAGAUCGGAAGGAACACCAGUGGCGAAGGCGGCUACCUGGACCCAGACUGACGCUGAGGCACGAAAGCGUGGGUAGCAAACAGG
Molecule: ribosomal RNA, 253 nt
Filed under: uncultured bacterium
Lineage: Bacteria
Description: partial 16S ribosomal RNA
Rfam family: Bacterial small subunit ribosomal RNA
Source: RNAcentral